This 253-nucleotide ribosomal RNA is filed under the name uncultured bacterium. RNAcentral's name for it is "partial 16S ribosomal RNA". It matches the Rfam family "Bacterial small subunit ribosomal RNA", at positions 524 to 776 of the family's 1533-position model. The record is from RNAcentral.
GACGUAGGGCGCGAGCGUUGUCCGGAUUUAUUGGGCGUAAAGAGCUCGUAGGCGGUUUGUCGCGUCUGCUGUGAAAACUCAGGGCUUAACCCUGAGCCUGCAGUGGGUACGGGCAGACUAGAGUGUGGUAGGGGAGAUCGGAAUUCCUGGUGUAGCGGUGGAAUGCGUAGAUAUCCGAAAGAACACCGGUGGCGAAGGCGGUGGUCUGGGCCUGAACUGACGCUGAGGAGCGAAAGCCAGGGGAGCAAACGGG